This 183-nucleotide ribosomal RNA is filed under the name Neofusicoccum parvum. RNAcentral's name for it is "5.8S ribosomal RNA". The stretch from base 27 to 180 matches the Rfam family "5.8S ribosomal RNA". From Rfam's summary of the family: 5.8S ribosomal RNA (5.8S rRNA) is a component of the large subunit of the eukaryotic ribosome. It is transcribed by RNA polymerase I as part of the 45S precursor that also contains 18S and 28S rRNA. The record is from RNAcentral. Lineage: Eukaryota; Fungi; Ascomycota; Dothideomycetes; Botryosphaeriales; Botryosphaeriaceae.
GUCUGAAAAACAAGUUAAUAAACUAAAACUUUCAACAACGGAUCUCUUGGUUCUGGCAUCGAUGAAGAACGCAGCGAAAUGCGAUAAGUAAUGUGAAUUGCAGAAUUCAGUGAAUCAUCGAAUCUUUGAACGCACAUUGCGCCCCUUGGUAUUCCGAGGGGCAUGCCUGUUCGAGCGUCAUUU